This is a non-coding RNA of Protopterus annectens (West African lungfish), 75 nucleotides long. Lineage: Eukaryota; Metazoa; Chordata; Ceratodontiformes; Protopteridae. The record is from the annotation of a RefSeq genome assembly.
GACACUGUAGCUCAGGGGUUAGAGCACUGGUCUCAUAAACCAGAGGUUAUGAGUUCAAACCUCAUCAGCCUGUUU